RNAcentral lists this ribosomal RNA (459 nucleotides) under uncultured bacterium. Its description in RNAcentral is "partial 16S ribosomal RNA". It matches the Rfam family "Bacterial small subunit ribosomal RNA", at positions 338 to 795 of the family's 1533-position model. The record is from RNAcentral.
CCUACGGGCGGCAGCAGUGAGGAAUAUUGGUCAAUGGCCGAGAGUCUGAACCAGCCAAGUCGCGUGAGGGAAGACGGCCCUACGGGUUGUAAACCUCUUUUGUCGGGGAGCAAAGCGAGUCACGUGUGCCUCCUUGAGAGUACCCUAAGAACAAGCAUCGGCUAACUCCGUGCCAUCAGCGGCGGUAAGACGGGGGAUGCGAGCGUUAUGCGGAUUUAUUGGGUUUAGAGGGUGCGCAGGCGGAGGUGCAAGUCAGCGGUCAAAUUGCGGGGCUCAACCCCGGACUGCCGUUGAAACUGCAGCCCUUGAGUGCGCGAGAAGUAUGUGGAAUGCGUGGUGUAGCGGUGAAAUGCAUAGAUAUCACGCAGAACUCCGAUUGCGAAGGCAGCAUACCGGCGCGCAACUGACGCUCAGGCACGAAAGCGUGGGUAUCGAACAGGAUUAGAUACCCUAGUAGUC